ACAGGCACUUGGCACCCUUGUGACGUCAUACAGAGAAGUCACAGGGCAGUCCCCGAGGGUCUGU
Molecule: regulatory RNA element, 64 nt
Organism: Oryctolagus cuniculus (rabbit)
Lineage: Eukaryota; Metazoa; Chordata; Mammalia; Lagomorpha; Leporidae
Rfam family: MAT2A 3'UTR stem loop B
Source: Rfam